RNAcentral lists this ribosomal RNA (452 nucleotides) under Gemella morbillorum. RNAcentral describes it as "bacterial SSU rRNA". It matches the Rfam family "Bacterial small subunit ribosomal RNA", at positions 28 to 467 of the family's 1533-position model. The record is from RNAcentral. Lineage: Bacteria; Bacillati; Bacillota; Bacilli; Caryophanales; Gemellaceae.
GACGAACGCUGGCGGCGUGCCUAAUACAUGCAAGUCGAGCGAAGUUUUUCUGGUGCUUGCACUAGAAAAACUUAGCGGCGAACGGGUGAGUAACACGUAAAGAACCUGCCUCAUAGACUGGGACAACUAUUGGAAACGAUAGCUAAUACCGGAUAACAGUAUUUCUCGCAUGGGAGAUAUUUAAAAGUUGGUUAUGCUAACACUAUGAGAUGGCUUUGCGGUGCAUUAGCUAGUUGGUGGGGUAAAGGCCUACCAAGGCGACGAUGCAUAGCCGACCUGAGAGGGUGAUCGGCCACACUGGGACUGAGACACGGCCCAGACUCCUACGGGAGGCAGCAGUAGGGAAUCUUCCGCAAUGGGCGAAAGCCUGACGGAGCAACGCCGCGUGAGUGAAGAAGGAUUUCGGUUCGUAAAGCUCUGUUGUUAGGGAAGAAUGGAUAUGUAGUAACUAU